UUAGGCAUAUCAUCCGGCGAACUUUUGUUCGUCCGUCGGAUUGGCGGUGGUGCCUAGGUGGUUUUGCCGUGGUUGUGGUGGUGUAGGCGGUGGUUCUAGGUGGUUGUGCCGUGGUGGCGGUGACGAGAGUGGUGGCCGAUAAGUGGUUAUGCCGUGGUGGUGGUGACGGGAGAGGUGGCGGAUAAGUCGUAGUGACGUUUGGUGCUGGUCAUGUUAUAUAGUGUGGCUUCGAUUAGAGCCGCGGAUUUGAUCAGAUCCACAAACAACGACGGAGGAUGAGUGGCCGGAAACGGUGGUGAUAGUGGUUGCGAGCCUAUUGGAUUGACGGAGGAGAUGCUAGAGAGAGAGUAUGCAUGUAAGGUUUCAGUAUUGAAUUGAUGAGAAGAAAAAGCAAGAGACAAAAAUUUCUAAGAGCAUUCACAUCCAACCCCCUAAAAUUAUACAUACAUUCCACUAAAAAACAACUCUUAUAUCAAUAUAUUUCCACUAAAAACAAAUAUUUUUUCUCUCUCCUUUUCAAUUAAAUAAUAUUUUUAUACCUUUAUCAUUACAUUUUUCUCCCUCCUUCACUCACAACCACUUUCAAUAUAUAUUAAAAAAUUAUAGUAGGUGAACAGUGUCCCCCCAAAUAUACAGAUGAACAGUAAUAUUUUCUCUUUCCUUCACUCACAACCACCUUUUAUACUUUUUAUAUUUUAAAAACACCACACUGAGAAUAUGAUGCCUUGGAUGUGGAUGCUCUAAUCCAUCUAUUUUGUAUCGAAAAACCCACUCAAAACUUAAUUGGAUAUUUUUUGAAGUCCAUCUAGGAACUGUGUAAACUCAAAACUUAAUUGGAUAUUUUUUGAAGUCCAUCUAGGAAUUGUGUAACGUCUUUUGAUGUGCAGUGCAACCUGAUUAAAAAAAGCCAUUACUUUACAAAUUAAUGUAUGUACUUUAUAGAAUAGAAAUAAAGAUUCAACAAUCCAUAAUAUCAUAUAUGAAAUAUAGAGAAUAUUUUAAGUUAUUCAACAAUAUAUUCAUUUAUUUUGUUCACCCAUACUAAAAUAUUAUGAUUAUUUUUCUAAUUGCCACUAAACUAUUAACAUAUGAUAAUAGGUAAACGAAAUGAACAGUGGAAGCAUGCUUCCACAUGAAAUUACAUGCUUCCACACAAUUAUUUUUCUAAUUGUGUAACGUCUUUUGAUGGAAACAUGCUUCCACACAACUGCUUGGCAGCCAUGCAUCAUAGUCCAAAAAGGAAACGUGUCAUAAUCCAGGAGUGAUUGGAUUCCUCUAUAAAGAGAUGCCAUUAUCACAUGAAAUUACACAUAUUUUUUUAUAACUUUAAAAGAUGUAAUGUUUAAUUAAUCAUAUAUCAAGCAUCUAACUCUUAUAAAUAAAUUAUAAGAGAUUUCAUUAUGCCAUUACCAAUAUAGUUGGUAUUUUUAUUAACUAUAUAAAAAAAAUCUUAUGUAAAAAAAUUACAUAAAUAACUAAAUAAAAAAACAUUUCUUAUCUAAAAAAUUACCUAAAAAAUUACUUAAAAGGUAGAAAAGCCAUUGGAGGUCUAAGAGGAUUCACAUCCAUCCCACCAAAUUUUGUGAGUGUGUUCUUUACAUUAUAACAAGCGAUUGUUAGUGAAGGAGAAAAAAUUUGUUACUCUUCAUCUGUAUAUUUGAGAGAACACUACUUUGUAAUUUUUUAAUAUAUAGUGAAGGAGAAAAAGUUUGU
This 1713-nucleotide long non-coding RNA is filed under the name Helianthus annuus (common sunflower). Its description in RNAcentral is "hypothetical non coding rna". The record is from RNAcentral. Lineage: Eukaryota; Viridiplantae; Streptophyta; Magnoliopsida; Asterales; Asteraceae.